This 254-nucleotide ribosomal RNA is filed under the name uncultured prokaryote. RNAcentral's name for it is "partial 16S ribosomal RNA". It matches the Rfam family "Bacterial small subunit ribosomal RNA", at positions 524 to 776 of the family's 1533-position model. The record is from RNAcentral.
UACAGAGGUCUCAAGCGUUGUUCGGAUUCAUUGGGCGUAAAGGGUGUGUAGGUGGCGCGCUAAGUCGGGUGUGAAAUUUCGGAGCUUAACUCCGAAACUGCAUUCGAUACUGGCGUGCUUGAGGACUGGAGAGGAGACUGGAAUUCAUGGUGUAGCAGUGAAAUGCGUAGAGAUCAUGAGGAAUACCUGAGGUGAAGACGGGUUGCUAGGCCGACACUGACGCUGAGUGCGCGAAAGCCAGGGGAGCAAACGGG